Molecule: ribosomal RNA, 469 nt
Filed under: uncultured Pseudomonadota bacterium
Lineage: Bacteria; Pseudomonadati; Pseudomonadota
Description: bacterial SSU rRNA
Rfam family: Bacterial small subunit ribosomal RNA
Source: RNAcentral
GAACGCUGGCGGCAGGCUUAACACUUGCAAGCCGAGCGGGCGUAGCAAUACGUCAGCGGCAGACGGGUGAGUAACGCGUGGGAACGUACCUUUUGGUUCGGAACAACCCAGGGAAACUUGGGCUAAUACCGGAUAAGCCCUUACGGGGAAAGAUUUAUCGCCGAAAGAUCGGCCCGCGUCUGAUUAGCUAGUUGGUGAGGUAAUGGCUCACCAAGGCGACGAUCAGUAGCUGGUCUGAGAGGAUGAUCAGCCACAUUGGGACUGAGACACGGCCCAAACUCCUACGGGAGGCAGUAGUGGGGAAUAUUGGACAAUGGGCGCAAGCCUGAUCCAGCCAUGCCGCGUGAGCGAUGAAGGCCCUAGGGUUGUAAAGCUCUUUUGUGCGGGAAGAUAAUGACGGUACCGCAAGAAUAAGCCCCGGCUAACUUCGUGCCAGCAGCCGCGGUAAUACGAAGGGGGCUAGCGUUGC